GGAAGGCCCUUCGGGGUACUCGAGCGGCGAACGGGUGAGUAACACGUGAGCAACCUGCCCCUGACUCUGGGAUAAGCCCGGGAAACUGGGUCUAAUACCGGAUAUGACCACUCCAGGCAUCUGGUGGUGGUGGAAAGUUUUUUCGGUCGGGGAUGGGCUCGCGGCCUAUCAGCUUGUUGGUGGGGUAGUGGCCUACCAAGGCGACGACGGGUAGCCGGCCUGAGAGGGCGACCGGCCACACUGGGACUGAGACACGGCCCAGACUCCUACGGGAGGCAGCAGUGGGGAAUAUUGCGCAAUGGGCGGAAGCCUGACGCAGCGACGCCGCGUGGGGGAUGACGGCCUUCGGGUUGUAAACCUCUUUCAGCAGGGACGAAGUUGACGUGUACCUGCAGAAGAAGCGCCGGCUAACUACGUGCCAGCAGCCGCGGUAAUACGUAGGGCGCAAGCGUUGUCCGGAAUUAUUGGGCGUAAAGAGCUCGUAGGUGGCUGGUCGCGUCUGCCGUGAAAGCCCGCAGCUUAACUGCGGGUCUGCGGUGGAUACGGGCCGGCUAGAGGUAGGUAGGGGCAAGUGGAAUUCCUGGUGUAGCGGUGAAAUGCGCAGAUAUCAGGAGGAACACCGGUGGCGAAGGCGGCUUGCUGGGCCUUACCUGACGCUGAGGAGCGAAAGCGUGGGGAGCGAACAGGAUUAGAUACCCUGGUAGUCCACGCUGUAAACGUUGGGCGCUAGGUGUGGGACCCUUCCACGGGUUCCGUGCCGGAGCUAACGCA
Molecule: ribosomal RNA, 771 nt
Filed under: Nonomuraea sp.
Lineage: Bacteria; Bacillati; Actinomycetota; Actinomycetes; Streptosporangiales; Streptosporangiaceae
Description: bacterial SSU rRNA
Rfam family: Bacterial small subunit ribosomal RNA
Source: RNAcentral